This 84-nucleotide transfer RNA is filed under the name Acidocella aminolytica 101 = DSM 11237. It matches the Rfam family "tRNA". Rfam says of the family: Transfer RNA (tRNA) molecules are approximately 80 nucleotides in length. The record is from Rfam by way of RNAcentral. Lineage: Bacteria; Pseudomonadati; Pseudomonadota; Alphaproteobacteria; Acetobacterales; Acidocellaceae.
GCGGGCGUGGCGAAACUGGUAGACGCAACGGACUUAAAAUCCGUUGGGGGCAACUCCGUGCCGGUUCGAUUCCGGCCGUCCGCA